RNAcentral lists this ribosomal RNA (540 nucleotides) under uncultured archaeon. RNAcentral describes it as "bacterial SSU rRNA". It matches the Rfam family "Archaeal small subunit ribosomal RNA", at positions 135 to 656 of the family's 1478-position model. The record is from RNAcentral.
GGAAACUGGGAUUAAUCCGUGAUAGGUCAUCUCACCUGGAAGGAGAGAUGGCUUAAAGGGGUGCGAGAGCUUCUUUCUCGUAUCCGCUCUAGGAUGGGACUGCGGCCGAUCAGGCUGUUGGUGGGGUAAUGGCCCACCAAACCUGUAACCGGUACGGGCCUUGAGAGAGGGGGCCCGGAGAUGGACACUGAGAGAAGGGUCCAGGUCCUACGGGGCGCAGCAGGCGCGAAACCUUCGCAAUGCGCGAAAGCGUGACGAGGUUAAUCCGAGUGGUCCCCGCUGAGGGGAUCUUUUGCCAGCUGUAAAAAGGCCGGUGAAUAAGGGGAGGGCAAGUCUGGUGUCAGCCGCCGCGGUAAUACCAGCUCCUCGAGUGGUCGGGGCGAUUAUUGGGCCUAAAGCAUCCGUAGCCUGUUCUGUAGGUCCUCUGUCAAAUCCCAACGGCUUAACCGUUGGCCCGCAGAGGAUACCGCAGGACUAGGAGGCGGGAAAGGUGGACGGUACUCCACGUGUAGGGGUAAAAAUCCUUUGAUCCGUGAAACA